This 502-nucleotide ribosomal RNA is filed under the name uncultured Glomeromycotina. RNAcentral describes it as "partial small subunit ribosomal RNA". It matches the Rfam family "Eukaryotic small subunit ribosomal RNA", at positions 591 to 1092 of the family's 1831-position model. Lineage: Eukaryota; Fungi; Glomeromycota. The record is from RNAcentral.
CCAAUAGCGUAUAUUAAAGUUGUUGCAGUUAAAAAGCUCGUAGUUGAACUUCGGGGUUUACCCAUUGGUCAGGCUUAAUUGUCUGUACUGGUGAGAUGAAUCUCUACCUUCCGAGGAACUUUCAUGCCAUUUAUUUGGUGUGAUUGGAAAUCAGGACUGUUACUUUGAAAAAAUUAGAAUGUUUAAAGCAGGCUAACGUCUGAAUACAUUAGCAUGGAAUAAUGAAAUAGGACGGACUGAUUCUAUUUCGUUGGUUUCUAGGAUCACCGUAAUGAUUAAUAGGGAUAGUUGGGGGCAUUAGUAUUCAAUUGUCAGAGGUGAAAUUCUUGGAUUUAUUGAAGACUAACUACUGCGAAAGCAUUUGCCAAGGAUGUUUUCAUUAAUCAAGAACGAAAGUUAGGGGAUCGAAGACGAUCAGAUACCGUCGUAGUCUUAACCAUAAACUAUGCCGACUAGGGAUCGGACGAAGUUAAUUUUAUAAUGACGCGUUCAGCACCUUACG